Non-coding RNA from Penaeus vannamei (Pacific white shrimp), 485 nucleotides. Lineage: Eukaryota; Metazoa; Arthropoda; Malacostraca; Decapoda; Penaeidae. The record is from RefSeq and is a predicted model, not a curated record.
CCACACCUCGUCACAGUGGUCAACUAUCAACAAUCAUCUCUAUCUCUCGCCUGGGAUCGGAUCAUGAGGGCGUCUAGCGUUGCAUUGGGCGUGUGGGCGUGCGUUCUGCUGAUGGGCGUGGGCGUGGAUCCUUCCCCGCCCCGUGCUGCAGGGGGGUCGGCACCCUGGCGGUAGGCGCUUUGGCUUUCACUGGGGGCGUUCUUGUCGCGAAGCACCAUUAUCGGCAUCAUCAUGGGGGCGGCUGUUCCUCCUGCGGCUGCGGCGGCUGCGGCGGCUCCUGCGGCUGGUGUGGCGGCGGCUACUACGGAAGGAGGCGGCGCAGGAGUCUGGUCGCAUUCCUGGACGACGCGGAAGUGCGGCUGGCGUAUAACACGAUCGCGGCCGAGGACAAGGACGAGUGCGGCCUCCGCCUGGUGUGCGAGCUGGCGCAGAAGGACCCCGCGGAGCUCGCCCAGGACGAGAUUCAGAUCCUCCUGCCGUACCGG